CUGUUUACAUUGUACAUACAUUUGUCUGUCAUUGCACUUUGGGUGUGCUGACCGGUAAUUUCCUCAAAUAUGGAAAACUGGAGGGCAUGAUUUUUGGUAGAGGGGGACUGCAUCUGUACUCGCCACUA
This 128-nucleotide small nuclear RNA is filed under the name Canis lupus dingo (dingo). RNAcentral's name for it is "U1 spliceosomal RNA (ENSCAFG00020025956.1)". The record is from RNAcentral. Lineage: Eukaryota; Metazoa; Chordata; Mammalia; Carnivora; Canidae.